Molecule: unclassified non-coding RNA, 235 nt
Filed under: Oidiodendron sp.
Lineage: Eukaryota; Fungi; Ascomycota; Leotiomycetes; Myxotrichaceae
Also listed under: 2 other names
Description: partial contains 5.8S ribosomal RNA, internal transcribed spacer 2, and large subunit ribosomal RNA
Rfam family: 5.8S ribosomal RNA (bases 1-52)
Source: RNAcentral
AACGCACAUUGCGCCCUGUGGUAUUCCGCAGGGCAUGCCUGUUCGAGCGUCAUUUCAACCCUCAAGCACUGCUUGGUGUUGGGCCCUGCCCGUCGCGGCCGGCCCUAAAGACAGUGGCGGCGCCGUCUGGCUCUAAGCGUAGUACAACUCUCGCUCUGGAGUCCUGCGGUAGCUUGCCAGAACCCCUAAUCUUAUGGUUGACCUCGGAUCAGGUAGGGAUACCCGCUGAACUUAA